Molecule: ribosomal RNA, 242 nt
Filed under: uncultured bacterium
Lineage: Bacteria
Description: partial 16S ribosomal RNA
Rfam family: Bacterial small subunit ribosomal RNA
Source: RNAcentral
CGAGCGGCGAACGGGUGAGUAACACGUGGGUGAUCUGCCCUGCUCUUCGGGAUAAGCCUGGGAAACUGGGUCUAAUACUGGAUAUGACCGCAUGUCGCAUGGUGUGUGGUGGAAAGCCUUGUGCGGAGUGGGAUGGGCCCGCGGCCUAUCAGCUUGUUGGUGGGGUAAUGGCCUACCAAGGCGACGACGGGUAGCCGGCCUGAGAGGGCGACCGGCCACACUGGGACUGAGACACGGCCCAG